Molecule: ribosomal RNA, 253 nt
Filed under: uncultured bacterium
Lineage: Bacteria
Description: partial 16S ribosomal RNA
Rfam family: Bacterial small subunit ribosomal RNA
Source: RNAcentral
UACGGGGGGAGCAAGCGUUGUUCGGAUUUACUGGGCGUAAAGGGCGCGUAGGCGGUUAGAUAAGUUAGAUGUGAAAUCCCCGGGCUUAACCUGGGAACGGCAUUUAAUACUGUCUGGCUAGAGUAGAAUAGAGGGAAGUGGAAUUUCCAGUGUAGCGGUGAAAUGCGUAGAUAUUGGAAAGAACACCAGUGGCGAAGGCGGCUUCCUGGAUUCAUACUGACGCUGAGGCGCGAAAGCAUGGGGAGCAAACAGG